GUUGUGCAGGGGUACAGAACAUGGCAUCAUGUGGCCAUGAGCACUCUUGGCGGCCACCUGUGGCUGUGUGCACUUCAGGUGCACGUGAAGCAGCUGCGGGUGCUCCAGGGCGUGCUUAGACUAAUGCACAACUGAG
This 136-nucleotide small nucleolar RNA is filed under the name Drosophila ananassae. RNAcentral describes it as "snoRNA:GF26130". Lineage: Eukaryota; Metazoa; Arthropoda; Insecta; Diptera; Drosophilidae. The record is from RNAcentral.